This 374-nucleotide ribosomal RNA is filed under the name uncultured bacterium. Its description in RNAcentral is "bacterial SSU rRNA". It matches the Rfam family "Bacterial small subunit ribosomal RNA", at positions 30 to 402 of the family's 1533-position model. The record is from RNAcentral.
AUUGAACGCUGGCGGCAUGCCUUACACAUGCAAGUCGAACGGCAGCACGGGAGCAAUCCUGGUGGCGAGUGGCGAACGGGUGAGUAAUAUAUCGGAACGUGCCCAGUCGUGGGGAUAACGUAGCGAAAGCUACGCUAAUACCGCAUACGAUCUAUGGAUGAAAGCGGGGGAUCGCAAGACCUCGCGCGAUUGGAGCGGCCGAUAUCAGAUUAGGUAGUUGGUGAGGUAAAGGCUCGCCAAGCCGACGAUCUGUAGCUGGUCUGAGAGGACGACCAGCCACACUGGGACUGAGACACGGCCCAGACUCCUACGGGAGGCAGCAGUGGGGGAAUUUUUGGGACAAUGGGCGCAAGCCUGAUCCAGCAAUGCCGCGU